Molecule: non-coding RNA, 1033 nt
Organism: Chiloscyllium plagiosum (whitespotted bambooshark)
Lineage: Eukaryota; Metazoa; Chordata; Chondrichthyes; Orectolobiformes; Hemiscylliidae
Source: RefSeq, a predicted model, not a curated record
UUCUGGAAAUGCAUAUAAGCCCUGCACUCCGUCCUGAGCAGCAACUGUUGCAAUCAUUAAGGCAAAGCAAAAUGGCAGCAGAGGUGAUGGAGGCCUCAACCUCACUCCAGAUGUCUCAUCCUUUCCAAGAGACAGUGAUUUUUGCAGGCAUGCAGAUGGAAGAAAAACCAUACACAGGCACCCCACUAAUUUUAUCUCAGGACACUCCAGGAUUUUGACCCAGUGGCACUGAAGGAACGGCAAUGUAUUUUCAAGAUAGGAUGGUGUGACACCAAGCAGGAUCACCGAUGGAAAGUAUAUCACCAUUUCAGGGGCAGAUGCUGUCAAGAACAAAGCUUCCAUUUAAAAGAUACAGAACCCCAGCACCAAUGAUUCAUAAGCAUACAGGAAGUUGAAGUCUCCUAGCGAUUUGGGAAUUUUUCCUGAGAAGUAUUCCAGACGACCGAGGAUAUUUGGGGUACAGACUUCUUUGUUAAAUGGACACAAAAUGGUAUGAAAAGGACCAGGCCAAACCCCCUCAAAAUAUAUUAUGAUUGUCUAGACCCAAAUGUUUUCUUAUUUUAAAGAGGUAAAUGUAAAGCAUUGCAUUACAGAUGAAAUUUGAUUAGUUGAGCAAAACAUUUUUCUGUAGUUAAAAUAGACAAAAUUUUAAAAUUGGCUUCACCAUAUAACUGAGAUGCUUAUCAAAAUAUUAACUACCAAUUAGCUGUUCCAAUUUAUUAACACACCAUUGGCAAAGGCAAAUUCAGUAAAAACAGUGUCUCAUACAAUUCUAGCAGAAGGAGAACCCUAGCUUUUAGCUUCCACAUCCAGCUUAAAGACCUCGGUAGCUGCAGAAAGCUAAUACUAAAAAUCCUGGUUCUUUGGGAACUUGACCCCACCCAUUUAUGUUGCUUCUAUUAUUCCAUCUUUUACAAAAUAUCCUCAAGGCUUCACAAGCUGUUUACUCUAUUGGAUUGGAGCAGACUGCUUUUCACCUGUCUCAACCUUUUUUUAACAAAAAAAUGAACAAAAUAUACCUCUGAAAACCACA